UGAGUAACCUGCCCUUAACUCUGGGAUAAGCCUGGGAAACUGGGUCUAAUACCGGAUAUGACUCCUCAUCGCAUGGUGGGGGGUGGAAAGCUUUAUUGUGGUUUUGGAUGGACUCGCGGCCUAUCAGCUUGUUGGUGAGGUAAUGGCUCACCAAGGCGACGACGGGUAGCCGGCCUGAGAGGGUGAUCGGCCACAUUGGAACUGAGACACGGUCCAGACUCCGUACGGGAGCAG
This 234-nucleotide ribosomal RNA is filed under the name uncultured bacterium. RNAcentral describes it as "partial 16S ribosomal RNA". It matches the Rfam family "Bacterial small subunit ribosomal RNA", at positions 118 to 347 of the family's 1533-position model. The record is from RNAcentral.